This 78-nucleotide non-coding RNA is filed under the name unclassified sequences. The record is from Rfam.
ACUCGUGAACUGUGGGGCUUAACGUCUCCCCCUGCAGAUCCGGGUACGGGGAAACCCGUUUAACCGACACACAAGGAG